GACCAAUUAUGAAUGAAGUCUAUGUCUUUCUAGUUAUUAAAAAAAAAAUAAAAAAAAGACAUUUAAAUGCCUAGUAGAACGCCAACGUAAAUCCAGAAAAGACUCGCAAACCACCAAAAGGCCUAACUGAAAGGUUAGGCCCAAAGGCUAAAAAAAGAGGAAAUUCUAGGACUUGGUAGAUCCGACUUGCAAAGACCUGAAAGUCGACACGGGAGGCAAUUCUUAACCGCUUGAAACCCCGUAACACACGAUUAAAGUAAGGGAUCGAACAAGAGCUUAUACAGAGGAAGCUUCUUGAAAUGUUAGCAACCAAAAAAAGAAGGCCCCAACGAGACCAGAGAGAAUCUCUGCAAGGCUUACAUCACCCACACAUCCCUAUGUAGUCGAAAUAGGAAACGGUCUCAG
This 405-nucleotide unclassified non-coding RNA is filed under the name Hevea brasiliensis (rubber tree). Lineage: Eukaryota; Viridiplantae; Streptophyta; Magnoliopsida; Malpighiales; Euphorbiaceae. The record is from RNAcentral.